UACGAAGGGGGCUAGCGUUGCUCGGAAUCACUGGGCGUAAAGGGUGCGUAGGCGGGUCUUUAAGUCAGGGGUGAAAUCCUGGAGCUCAACUCCAGAACUGCCUUUGAUACUGAAGAUCUUGAGUUCGGGAGAGGUGAGUGGAACUGCGAGUGUAGAGGUGAAAUUCGUAGAUAUUCGCAAGAACACCAGUGGCGAAGGCGGCUCACUGGCCCGAUACUGACGCUGGAUGCGACGAAAGCGUGGGGAGCAAACAGG
Molecule: ribosomal RNA, 255 nt
Filed under: uncultured bacterium
Lineage: Bacteria
Description: partial 16S ribosomal RNA
Rfam family: Bacterial small subunit ribosomal RNA
Source: RNAcentral